Molecule: long non-coding RNA, 414 nt
Organism: Saccostrea cuccullata (small rock oyster)
Lineage: Eukaryota; Metazoa; Mollusca; Bivalvia; Ostreida; Ostreidae
Exons: 3
Source: RefSeq, a predicted model, not a curated record
UGUCCUGAAAUUCUUCUUUACUUAGUCUCCUUAUGGGAACCAGAGAUUGGACUGGGUUAGUGGUCCCUAUUUUCUUCUGGCCUUUGUUGUGAGGAAUACUUCCUUUUUUGUAUUGAUGUUGAUGCAACCAUCUUGGUCCUUUUUUUGGCAUGAGCUGCCUGGACUUCUAAGAGAAACUCCAUUCUUUGAUGACUGAUGGAAAAGCCUCAUCACCCCCCACUGCUUAAGAACCCCUUAUCUUAAUCACCAGCCAUUAAUCAGUGAUCACUGUUAUCAAAGCUCCAAGGUGCGCAUGAUGCAACUUCCUGGAUGGUGUGUAGGCUGUUUGUCAACAUGUGAAUCCCACGUGCGUUUCGGGGUAGGUAUGUUUACUGUCGAUUUUCUUUCUUAAAAGCCGCAUAAGGCAUAUUUUUU